This is a non-coding RNA of Acanthosepion pharaonis, 100 nucleotides long. NCBI's taxonomy places the organism in Eukaryota, Metazoa, Mollusca, Cephalopoda, Sepiida, Sepiidae. The record is from the annotation of a GenBank genome assembly.
UUACGGCCAUAUCAUGUUGAAACAACAGUUCCCAUAGGAUCACUGAUGUUAAGCAACGUUGAACUUUGUCAGUACCUGUAUGGGUGACCACUUGGGAAUA